RNAcentral lists this ribosomal RNA (292 nucleotides) under uncultured bacterium. RNAcentral describes it as "partial 16S ribosomal RNA". It matches the Rfam family "Bacterial small subunit ribosomal RNA", at positions 505 to 796 of the family's 1533-position model. The record is from RNAcentral.
GUGUCAGCCGCCGCGGUAAUACGUAGGGGGCAAGCGUUGUCCGGAAUCAUUGGGCGUAAAGCGCGCGUAGGCGGCCCGGUAAGUCCGUUGUGAAAGUCAAAGGCUCAACCUUUGAACGCCGAUGGAUACUGCCGGGCUAGAGUCCGGAAGAGGCGAGUGGAAUUCCUGGUGUAGCGGUGGAAUGCGCAGAUAUCAGGAGGAACACCAAUAGCGAAGGCAGCUCGCUGGGACGGUACUGACGCUGAGGCGCGAAAGCGUGGGGAGCGAACAGGAUUAGAAACCCUGGUAGUCC